GUUUGAUCCUGGCUCAGAGCGAACGCUGGCGGCAGGCCUAACACAUGCAAGUCGAACGGACCCUUCGGGGUUAGUGGCGACCGGGUGAGUAACACGUGGGAACGUGCCUUUAGGUUCGGAAUAGCUCCUGGAAACGGGUGGUAAUGCCGAAUGUGCCCUUCGGGGGAAAGAGUUUAUCGACCUUUAGAGCGGCCCGCGUCUGAUUAGCUAGUUGGUGAGGUAAUGGCUCACCAAGGCGACGAUCAGUAGCUGGUCUGAGAGGAUGACCAGCCACAUUGGGACUGAGACACGGCCCAAACUCCUACGGGAGGCAGCAGUGGGGAAUCUUGCGCAAUGGGCGAAAGCCUGACGCAGCCAUGCCGCGUGAAUGAUGAAGGUCUUAGGAUUGUAAAAUUCUUUCUACCGGGGACGAUAAUGACGGUACCCGGAGAAGAAGCCCCGGCUAACUUCGUGCCAGCAGCCGCGGUAAUACGAAGGGGGCUAGCGUUGCUCGGAAUUACUGGGCGUAAAGGGCGCGUAGGCGGACAUUUAAGUCAGGGGUGAAAUCCCAGAGCUCAACUCUGGAACUGCCUUUGAUACUGGGUGUCUUGAGUGUCGAGAGAGGU
RNAcentral lists this ribosomal RNA (605 nucleotides) under uncultured bacterium. RNAcentral's name for it is "SSU rRNA". It matches the Rfam family "Bacterial small subunit ribosomal RNA", at positions 11 to 659 of the family's 1533-position model. The record is from RNAcentral.